RNAcentral lists this ribosomal RNA (359 nucleotides) under uncultured bacterium. RNAcentral describes it as "bacterial SSU rRNA". It matches the Rfam family "Bacterial small subunit ribosomal RNA", at positions 69 to 422 of the family's 1533-position model. The record is from RNAcentral.
GUCCAUCCGGUGGCAACACUGGUGAAGACCGAGUGGCGAACGGGUGAGUAACACGUGAGCAACCUGCCCCGAAGACCGGGAUAACCCCGGGAAACCGGAGCUAAUACCGGAUGUCCCCACCGGGUCGUAUGGCCUGGCGAGGAAAUGGAUUCCGCUUCGGGAGGGGCUCGCGGCCUAUCAGCUUGUUGGUGGGGUAACGGCCCACCAAGGCUUCGACGGGUAGCUGGUCUGAGAGGACGAUCAGCCACACUGGGACUGAGACACGGCCCAGACUCCUACGGGAGGCAGCAGUGGGGAAUCUUGCGCAAUGGGCGAAAGCCUGACGCAGCAACGCCGCGUGGAGGAUGAAGCCCCUUGGG